GCCACUUUGGAGUACUAAUAUCUUAUGCUAGAUUGGAUGAGUUCACUCUCUCUAAAAUAAAUUUCAAUUGAGUAAGAAAAUUCCCUCGGCUAUGUUAGAAAGCCAUGAAUUUUAUAAAUGUCUACAAUAUUGAAAAUUGUACUAGAAUGUUUGAUCUUCGGUAUUAAUGUUAACAUGCUUUAUGCUUACCAUUUUAGUCAAUUGAAGAGGAUUUUAUAUUUGUUAUUGGCGUCCAAUUUCGAAGCCUCAAUUUCAUGCUGCUGGGAACACUAGAAUAUUUACUUAUUGAUUUCAUAAAACAAUCUAAUACUUAACGAAGCAACGAUUUCCCAUCUCAUCAAUCAUAAAUAAACAUUGCUUUAGACCUUAUUAAUCUAAAACACGGCUUCAUCCUCCAACACUAAUAUAGUUUUAUUGUUUAAGUGCAACAUUAGAUCAUAGUAGUGAUCAAUAACUAAAAGAAACAAUGAUAUUUCCAUUAUCAAAAACAUUCGAGAAUAGAUACUAAUUUAUGGCUUAUCCAUUCUACUAUGCAGUCAUGUCCAGAACUGAAACUCAAAACAAAAUCGUAUUGUUUAUUAGUAAUUGUUUUAGAAUGCUUUCACAUUGUAUUAUUUGAUAAGCUCCAUCCAAACUUGAAUGUUGAAUUUUUGAUUUUUUAAUCAAUUUUAAUUGAAAAUUAAAUUGGGACAUUUUGCAAAUUAUGGAACGAUUUUUUCAACCGAAACGAAAGUCUAUUUCGAAACGAACUAUAUUUUCAUAAGUAUAUAAUUUCUAUGUUUUAGUACAUUUACAUAUAUAUUGAAUAAUUUUUAAUAUUAUUUAAUCAAAUUUUAAUAAACGAUCGGUCGCCAACCGAACCGGCUUUUACGAUCGUUGAUUGUCGAUGGUCAACGGUCAAAGUCAACCUUCGCCCUAGCUGAAUGUUAAUGCUAGAUUCACCCCUGGUCGAAAGCCUUCCAAGCUGUCUUCAAAUGUCUAACUUCAGUCAAUUGCAUGAUCAGUAUUAAUCUAAGUUGAGGUCAAAUAUAUAUUAGAAUAUUUACUUUAAGAGACUGAUUUAGUUCAUACAAUUCCCCUUGGUACAUAACCAGUAACGAAUAAUUUCUUCUUUUGAUGAAUGUGCGUCUUUAAGAUUUUUGAACAGACUUAUGGGAAUGAUACCCCAACGAGUCUCCCGAAGAAUUUACCCAGACUGAUUGGGAAAGAGGAGGUUCUAGAGUGCUCUUAUCUAGCUGAUGUCUUCUAGUAACAGUUGAAAUCUCCAAACUAGAGUUAUAUUAGUGAAACGGGCAGAACGAGAAUAAUGCAUUGAAGUGAAGAUCAAGAGCCGAGCAUUGGAUAUAAGUAGACCAACCCUUGUGGGAUCGACAAUCUUCAUAGUCAUUCACUUGCGGUUUGUAGCUAACAAGUUUGAUGUUUACUCUAACCUUUGGAAUCUAGAUUUCAUAGUUACUAUUAGGAGCAGGCUUUCAAUUAUAUUUAUUUCAAUUCAGGGUCUUAUAAAUGUAGCAAAAGUUAUUUGUAUUUUGAUCAGGAAAUAAAGAGAAUUUAUUUAUUUAUUUUAA
Olea europaea var. sylvestris is the source of this 1568-nucleotide long non-coding RNA. RefSeq lists it as uncharacterized. The transcript has 2 exons. Lineage: Eukaryota; Viridiplantae; Streptophyta; Magnoliopsida; Lamiales; Oleaceae. The record is from RefSeq and is a predicted model, not a curated record.